RNAcentral lists this ribosomal RNA (253 nucleotides) under uncultured microorganism. RNAcentral's name for it is "partial 16S ribosomal RNA". It matches the Rfam family "Bacterial small subunit ribosomal RNA", at positions 524 to 776 of the family's 1533-position model. The record is from RNAcentral.
UACGUAGGGUGCGAGCGUUAAUCGGAUUUACUGGGCGUAAAGCGUGCGCAGGCGGCCCGUUACGACAGAUGUGAAAUCCCUGGGCUCAACCUAGGAAUUGCGCUUGUGACUGGCGGGCUCGAGUACGGUAGAGGGGGGUGGAAUUCCUGGUGUAGCAGUGAAAUGCGUAGAGAUCAGGAGGAACACCGAUGGCGAAGGCAGCCCCCUGGGCCUGUACUGACGCUCAUGCACGAAAGCGUGGGGAGCAAACAGG